AAAACACGUUGCGGGGUUUCAUGGGUCACGUUUAGCCCAUACGUCGUCUAUUGGCUACCUCUGGGUUGCUGACUUCUAUAAACCUUUUUUUUUUUUUUUUUUUAAAUCUCUUUAUGUCGUCUAGGUGUCCAAAGAACCUUACACAGAAGAGGAAGGAAAAAGGCAUUUUGUGUUUGCUCAGAUGUGAUGCUUGUUAGCCCCAGUAUAGCUAAUCCUCUCUGUGUGACCUUUCUAACUUGAUUUCCAGGCAAUGGAGUAGCCCAGAAAUCGCUUUGGACAGCUGGAGAAGUGUCGACCCCACAUUGCUUGCUCCACCCCAGCUCAAGAUCUAGGUCUCGUACAGUGCUGGGAGCAUGAUGGCAGUGCAGUUAGCAGCCAAGAUACAGCAUUACAAACCUCAGGAGGAGCAAAUUGAAUAUUCAUAUAGUCUGCACAGAGCAUCCUAGUUCAGAAUUCUCAACUGCUUCCCACACUGUACUGGGUUUCUAAAAUCCCACCACUUUGCCACCAAGAUCUUUGAACUCUCUAGCCAGUCCAGCAGUUUCUGCAGCACAGGUUUUGGCUUUGCAGUCAGUGAGCAGAAGCAAUCCCAAGUGACUGAGGAAGACCAGUCACCCACGCUGCAGAGUGCAAACUGGCCCGUCCUGCUGUGUUCAAACGGAACAGACCUUGAGCAAGCCACGACACACAAGUUAGUAUCUGUGUGAAAUUUGAUUCGUAUCUGAAUGAAAAAAGGGGGCAGGAGACAUCUAGAGAAAUCACUCUCGGUUUGUAAAUGCUUUGCAUGCAGAAAAAGGCU
Molecule: long non-coding RNA, 799 nt
Filed under: Struthio camelus australis
Lineage: Eukaryota; Metazoa; Chordata; Aves; Struthioniformes; Struthionidae
Description: lncRNA (ENSSCUG00000006162.1)
Source: RNAcentral